GGCCUGAGUUCCGGUUCCGCGUGAGUUGUGCGCGCGCGUGCGCUUUCGGCUGCAGGAGGGUCUGGUGGAAGGUUUGCCUUGCGCGGGCGGCGGGGCUCUCGAGGCAGCGCGGGGGGGGGCGGAGGGCGGGGUGUGCGGCCUUCCCUUUUCUCUCCACGCGCUUCUCCAUAGGACGUGGACGGGGCUGCUAGCAAGAGCUUAGCCUUACUAAAUAGUCAGGGUGUGCCGGACCAGGACCUGGGUUCGAAUUCCGCACUCGGCCAUUAUGCUCACCUGGGGUGGCCCUAGCGGGGCCGGACGCUACCUCUCUCAGCCCAGCCUAAACUACCUCGCAGGGUUGUCGUGGGGAUUGGGUGAGAAGGGGGAGAGCCAUGCAUGCCACUUCGAAUUCCUUGUUGGAGAAAAGGGGUAUAAAUGCAGUAAAUUAAUAUUAUCGCCUCCCCCCCCCCGCCGCCAAAAUAGUAUUUUCUUCAUUGCAUUACUCCUACAGUUAACAGUACACGGAAGUUUACUUCACAGGGGUGACCAUUUGGACUUUCAGCAAGACUGCCUUGCCUCUGGUAGAUUGAUUAGUGGCAGCAUGUAGAUCUUCUGCUCUUGUGGGUAAGAAUGUAAAAAGAUUGGGCCCAGUGGCCCAUCUGGUCCAACAUCCUGUUCUCGCAGUGGCCAGCAAGAUGCCUGUGGGAAACCUGCAAACCAGACCUGAGCACAGGAGCACUCCUAUGGUUUCCAGCAGCUGGGACUCAGAAGCAUUACUGCCUGGGAUGGUGAAGGUGAAAUCUUUAUUGGAACAUGUAUUUAUGUAUGGGUCUGUCUGCUUUACUUGAUUUUGGGUGCAGUGAUGACUUACCUGAAAGAGCGCCAUUAAGGGAGCUAAAAAGGAAAUACAACAUGGAGUCAGUGAUGACUCUCUCUGGAAUAAAGGUUUUAAGAAGGGGACUUGAGAAAAUGCAGCAGAGUAGGUGGGAAGUCCCAUGGCUCCAGAUAACAGGGAGAUUGUAGAAAUUGAGUACUUGGAAAGUAAAGGGAGUUGGGUGGUGUGGCUGGGAAUUGGGUCGUACCACUUGCUCCACCUUUCUGUCUUUGGUCUUCUGGCAGAAGCCAAAUUUUAGGGGAAGUAAGAGGUUUUGAACUAGCUAGAAGAUACUUAGAGGGUAAAAAUCCAGUUGAGAAAGCAAGACAAUGGGAAUUAUGUAUGCAAGUAAUUCUUAAAUUAUAAUAUUCAAUAUUUGAUAUUCAUUGGAGAAAUGAUAACCUAUUAUGGGAAGGACCAAGCUACUUUUGAUGGAUCCAGAUUACAUAAAGUGCUUCCCUCUCAGACGAAUCCUGUCACUCAGGUGGACCCAAAUAUACUUUAGAACAGGCUUCCUCAACCUCGGCCCUUCAGAUGUUUUGAGACUACAAUUCCCAUCAUCUCUGACCACUGGUCCUGCUAGUUGGGGAUCAUGGGAGUUGUAGGCCAAAAACACCUGGAGGGCCGAGAUUGAGGAAGCCUGUUUUAGAAUACUGAGUGAGUGGGCCCUUCACCCUUGGUAAUGGAAAGGAAACAAUCUGUAUACUGUACUUUUUAUUAUUGGUGCUUUAAUUCCUAAAAGGUAAAUAUUUUUGCCAAUGUUCAUGCUUUUCUCAUACUGCAACUUUUUUUAUAUGUAGUAGUGGAACCAUCCCCAAGAUAAAAGCUAUUUAUAUUUGGACAAGUUGACUACCAUUUUGGAAGUACUGCGUUUUUUCCCCCCUUGAGGUAAGACAUUUGUUGUGAAAACACACCAAAAUGAGUAUUUGCUGCUUGGUAUAAAGCCCAUGGGCUGGGAAAUGGUUGCUGCGUAGCUGGGCCUGCUGUGGUCCUGCCUUGUACCAGCUAGCCUGACCUUGCCCUAGAUGAAAACCUGGCAGCCUUCUUUUUGGGGUCUGCCCUGUGCAGUAACAGGUGUGAGCAUUCUAGCAGCAGCUUGAUGGUCAUGUAUGAUACUGCAUACAGAUCUGUUGCGACAUGCAGAGAAAACCCAGACUGCAUUCUGUUCUGUCAAGUGUCUAAUUAAGGGUGGAGGCAAAACUGAGUAACUGCUGGAUUUUAUAUUCCCAAAAAUUGCGGGAGGGAGGAGACAGGCAGCCAUUAUGUGUUCAUCCAUCUCAGCAGCCUUUGGUUCAACCUGAAACUUGCAUAGUGCCUGACAUAACAUCAUUUGAAUGUCUGCUACCUCCUCCCAUAUUCCAUCUAAAGAUUGUAAUGUAGAUUCCAUGGCUUCACGAUCUGCAAACUUUUUCUUACUUUCCCUUUCCCCCCUACCCACUUUAUCAUGUAGCCCAGGGAUAGACAACAUGGUGUUCUCCAGAUGUGUCGGAGCCAGCCGUUACAAAUGGCGAAGUUUUGCAUAAAAUAAAGACACAGAGAGCCAGCAAUAUUUUCAUGAUGGUAGGAGCAGCUCCUUUUUCCACUUCCCUCUCCUCCUGCAGCUACUUUUAUUAUCCUUUGUCUCUCUCUCCAGCCGCAUGGCUGUUUGCCAAUGUCUCACGUUACCUCAUCCGGUCAAGGCUUUUAUUGCCCCCUUCACCAUAUAGGGUCAAUCACUGCCCAGAGGAAACACAACUGCAUUUAAGUCAAUACAUUCCAAUACAUUGUAAAGCUCAGAGUGCUGGUCAGCCGAGGUCAGGGGGCACCCUGCAAUAUUACAAGCCUUUACCGUGGCUUUAUGACUCCCACACAGAUGCUGUUCUGACCAUCAGCUCACAUCAUUCCUGGCCUUUGGCCAUGCUGGUUGGCACUGAUGGGAGUUGGGAGUCCAACAACAUCUGCAGGGCAUCAGCUUGGUUAUCUAUGAUCUGUAGACCAGGGUUCGGCAACCUAAAGCCCAUGGGCCGGAAGCAGCCCACGGUGGCCUUUUAACCGGCCCACGAACCACCCCUGAACUGAGCCGCCUGCUCAGCGAGUCCCCACGCACUGCGCUAAACCAGUGGCGCAGGGACACCAAUAAAUUAAAUUAAAGGACAUAGACAUACUGCUUGUGGUUUCUAACUUAGUCUCUAACUUCCACAUUCUACUUGGUCCUGGGUGUGUGCCAUUGAUUUGUCACACUGUUUAAAUUCUGUAGCUGUUUAAAUUGUUAUAGGGCCACCAUUGCUAGAUAUGGUGUGUCUGAAAGAUGCAAGCAACCAUCCUGUGAUAUGAAGUCUGUUUGUUUCCUGACAAUUCUUGAUACCAGGGUGGGCCCUUUUAAAAUUCCAAGAAUCGUCAUGCUAAAUAGCGAAGCAGAGUUCUAAUAUGCCUGUAGCUGAUCUAUUAACCAUUUCAUUUAAAAGUUUAGAAACAUCUUCUUGUACAAUGAACUUUGAUCAUAUUAAAAAUGACACCAUGACAGUGACUAUCAAAUAUUUCUUGUAGGUACUGAUGGACCAAAAACAGUACAGAAAAGGAUUCUCAUAGGUAAGUAUGACUUAUUUGAGAUCUACCUUAGAGGCAUGCAGGGGGACCUGUUGCGUAUUAGGCCAUAUGCCAGAGAUGCAAAUUGUAUAUUUCUAUUGUACAGUAGGCCUUGGAGAGGGAAAAAGAUUGACUAGGGACACCAGAUCUCAUUUGUGCAUUGUCACCUGCCUUAUUGGUCCCUCUGUGUGUUCUUGUUUUUAUUAAUUAGCAAGCCAUUGUGCCUCUCAUCAGUGGAAGCUCAGUGCUUGAAAUAUGCCUGCUUUAAUAAUUUGUCCUAAUAUUCCAUACUUAGCAGAAGCCACUGUCCCUGUCAUUUUGAAACAUGAUUUGGAUUGUCUUCUUACUUACAUUUCAAAAUAAACUUGGUGUAACUUAAAGAGUAAAUCAGCCAGCAGCAAAUACGUUUUGAGUAUACAGAAUAGGUGUUGGGAUUAUCGCCUCAUUUAAGGUUGCUGAUUAAUUCUCACAAUGGGGAAUUGCUGCAACUGCUUGGUGGGCAGCAGUUCACCAGGUAAGGCGUCUGGAGGCCUGAAAACAGAGAUAGGGAAGGCUUCAGUGCCUGACUAUCUGGGGUGCUCAUUGGACUGGGACCAACUGAUGGAAUAAUAAAAACCUGUCAGUACAAGUAUUCCAAGCCUGAACAUGAGAACUGCAACUAUUGGCAUGCUUUCCAAGUUGCUUUCUGGCCUCAAGGGGAGAAAAUUGUGUUCUUUUGUGUUGCUAAACUGGGCCUUCAUCUCCUGUAGGCAUGGAGUAGCUUGAGCUCUGCACUCUGUUAUUCCACAGGUAGCGUAUUAGUUUUGGUUACCUUUGUUCAUGGAGUGCUAAACUAUCAGGCCACCUUGGCACAGGGAGCCCUUGUGUGCAGUUUUGGAACUCCUCUGUAAAGGUGGCCGACAUCAUUCCCUCAAAGUUGCAACACUUAGGAUCUGUCCCAAGAGUGUCUUUGAACUUUAAAAGCUGUACUCAGGCAUCUCAUUCUCUGUACUUAAGUCUCAUACCAGGCUGGGGAGCUUUAGGUUCAGAGUGGUAUUCAACUACAUUUUACUCAGAGUAGACUAACCUGGUCGUGUUCAUUUCAACGAGUAAAACUUAGUUGAACACAACUCUUAAAUCCUCACCAAACCAUGAAGCUCACUGAGUAAUCUUGGGCUAUUUGCCAUCUCCCCUUAAUUCACUAUAUACAUGUGAUGAAUCAUUGUUUUGGGCUUGUAAAUUUCCAGCUAUUAGGCAAGCAUGGAUCUGGGACAUAUUCAGAAAUGCAGAGGAUUGUGAGUAACUCCUUCUGUUACUCACAAAUAAAACACUGGCAAAUAAAGAGAAUCUCCGGUUUUAAUUCGGAAAUAAGUGGAUCUCUUCUAUUGGAAAUUAUGGGGAAACACUAGCUUCUGAUUUUAUAUGUGAAGCUUCUGGCUUGACUUUUCCUUGCCAUAAUGACCGUUAUAACUUUUACAUUCCAGGUAAGUGCUGUUGGAAGAGCAGUGCUCAGGUUCUGCAGAGGAAAGGGUUGUCAAAAUUCUGCUUUGUUCUCGUGUGUCAUUCUGGUUUGUGUAAAGUCACUUCAUUAAAAUCAGAUGUUCUAUCCUAACUGUGGCUUGAGUGUUAAUGUCCUGCAGAAGGCACCCUUCUCAAAAUAUUUAUUUUUGUCUACCUGUUGCUAAAGAGAAAUGCUCCUAUCUUCAUUAUCCCUG
Non-coding RNA from Podarcis lilfordi (Lilford's wall lizard), 5112 nucleotides. NCBI's taxonomy places the organism in Eukaryota, Metazoa, Chordata, Lepidosauria, Squamata, Lacertidae. The record is from the annotation of a GenBank genome assembly.